RNAcentral lists this non-coding RNA (45 nucleotides) under Schistosoma margrebowiei. Lineage: Eukaryota; Metazoa; Platyhelminthes; Trematoda; Strigeidida; Schistosomatidae. The record is from RNAcentral.
AUUCAACUGACGAGUCCUAAGCAGGACGAGAUGCGUGUCCUGGAU